RNAcentral lists this ribosomal RNA (1482 nucleotides) under Escherichia coli. RNAcentral describes it as "partial 23S ribosomal RNA". It matches the Rfam family "Bacterial large subunit ribosomal RNA", at positions 1468 to 2925 of the family's 2925-position model. Lineage: Bacteria; Pseudomonadati; Pseudomonadota; Gammaproteobacteria; Enterobacterales; Enterobacteriaceae. The record is from RNAcentral.
GGGGACGGAGAAGGCUAUGUUGGCCGGGCGACGGUUGUCCCGGUUUAAGCGUGUAGGCUGGUUUUCCAGGCAAAUCCGGAAAAUCAAGGCUGAGGCGUGAUGACGAGGCACUACGGUGCUGAAGCAACAAAUGCCCUGCUUCCAGGAAAAGCCUCUAAGCAUCAGGUAACAUCAAAUCGUACCCCAAACCGACACAGGUGGUCAGGUAGAGAAUACCAAGGCGCUUGAGAGAACUCGGGUGAAGGAACUAGGCAAAAUGGUGCCGUAACUUCGGGAGAAGGCACGCUGAUAUGUAGGUGAAGUCCCUCGCGGAUGGAGCUGAAAUCAGUCGAAGAUACCAGCUGGCUGCAACUGUUUAUUAAAAACACAGCACUGUGCAAACACGAAAGUGGACGUAUACGGUGUGACGCCUGCCCGGUGCCGGAAGGUUAAUUGAUGGGGUCAGCGCAAGCGAAGCUCUUGAUCGAAGCCCCGGUAAACGGCGGCCGUAACUAUAACGGUCCUAAGGUAGCGAAAUUCCUUGUCGGGUAAGUUCCGACCUGCACGAAUGGCGUAAUGAUGGCCAGGCUGUCUCCACCCGAGACUCAGUGAAAUUGAACUCGCUGUGAAGAUGCAGUGUACCCGCGGCAAGACGGAAAGACCCCGUGAACCUUUACUAUAGCUUGACACUGAACAUUGAGCCUUGAUGUGUAGGAUAGGUGGGAGGCUUUGAAGUGUGGACGCCAGUCUGCAUGGAGCCGACCUUGAAAUACCACCCUUUAAUGUUUGAUGUUCUAACGUGGACCCGUGAUCCGGGUUGCGGACAGUGUCUGGUGGGUAGUUUGACUGGGGCGGUCUCCUCCUAAAGAGUAACGGAGGAGCACGAAGGUUGGCUAAUCCUGGUCGGACAUCAGGAGGUUAGUGCAAUGGCAUAAGCCAGCUUGACUGCGAGCGUGACGGCGCGAGCAGGUGCGAAAGCAGGUCAUAGUGAUCCGGUGGUUCUGAAUGGAAGGGCCAUCGCUCAACGGAUAAAAGGUACUCCGGGGAUAACAGGCUGAUACCGCCCAAGAGUUCAUAUCGACGGCGGUGUUUGGCACCUCGAUGUCGGCUCAUCACAUCCUGGGGCUGAAGUAGGUCCCAAGGGUAUGGCUGUUCGCCAUUUAAAGUGGUACGCGAGCUGGGUUUAGAACGUCGUGAGACAGUUCGGUCCCUAUCUGCCGUGGGCGCUGGAGAACUGAGGGGGGCUGCUCCUAGUACGAGAGGACCGGAGUGGACGCAUCACUGGUGUUCGGGUUGUCAUGCCAAUGGCACUGCCCGGUAGCUAAAUGCGGAAGAGAUAAGUGCUGAAAGCAUCUAAGCACGAAACUUGCCCCGAGAUGAGUUCUCCCUGACCCUUUAAGGGUCCUGAAGGAACGUUGAAGACGACGACGUUGAUAGGCCGGGUGUGUAAGCGCAGCGAUGCGUUGAGCUAACCGGUACUAAUGAACCGUGAGGCUUAACCUU